UACUCAGUUCAGAUUGCAGGCUGCAACCCGCCUGCAUGAAGUCGGAGUUGCUAGUAGUCGCGGAUCAGCAUGCCGCGGUGAAUACGUUCCCGGGCCUUGUACACACCGCCCGUCACACCAUGGGAGCCGGUAAUACCCGAAGUCAGUAGUCCAACCUCGUGAGGACGCUGCCGAAGGUAGGAUUGGCGACUGGGGUGAAGUCGUAACAAGGUAGC
Molecule: ribosomal RNA, 215 nt
Filed under: uncultured bacterium
Lineage: Bacteria
Description: partial 16S ribosomal RNA
Rfam family: Bacterial small subunit ribosomal RNA
Source: RNAcentral